GAGGGUUUAGCUCAGUGGUAGAGCACAUGCUCAGCAUGCAUGAGGUCCUGGGUUCGAUCCCCAGUACCUCCA
This 72-nucleotide transfer RNA is filed under the name Camelus ferus (Wild Bactrian camel). It matches the Rfam family "tRNA". From Rfam's summary of the family: Transfer RNA (tRNA) molecules are approximately 80 nucleotides in length. Lineage: Eukaryota; Metazoa; Chordata; Mammalia; Artiodactyla; Camelidae. The record is from Rfam by way of RNAcentral.